Molecule: long non-coding RNA, 2080 nt
Organism: Xenopus tropicalis (tropical clawed frog)
Lineage: Eukaryota; Metazoa; Chordata; Amphibia; Anura; Pipidae
Exons: 2
Source: RefSeq, a predicted model, not a curated record
CUGGCCUGCCUCUUAGAGGUGCAAGCCGCCACACCCAGCUGGAUCAGAUUCACACGAGAGCAGAUUUACUGCAUUGUCCAGAGGCCGGUAUUUGAGAAAGACACCAAGACCCUCAAGGCAUCAGACAUAUGGAAGUACCCCAGAGUAUUUUGGAGUCAUUACUGGCGUUCACCUGAUAUCUUCCCAACAGCGCUAAAUGCAUUAGCUAUUAAUCAAUGUGUAUUAAGCUGGAAUAAAAUAAUGUUCAUGUCACAGCUCAACACACUGUGUCUGUCUAGGGCAAAGGAAAAGAUCACAGAGAGGAAAGGAAAAGGUUUACAGUAUGUACCGAAUGUACAGUUUGUACCUGACAUGCAGUAAAGGGCUUUAUCCUCCAGAGGAAAGGAGGGAUGUCCAGAACAGAAAUUUGAAUGCUGAAGGUGUUCCCCUUGAAAUGAAGCAACUUUGGUUCUUCCAGCAAUUGUCCACCUUGAUGCCUCUCAUUUGAAAGAACCUCCUAUAACAGAGAAAAUGGGCAAUCAAUGAAACAACCCACCCAGAGGGAUUUAUAUGGUGCUGGAGCAUUUUAAAUAUGUCACCUCCUUUGGGAAGUAGUAUUGAAAUGAUUAUAGGGCUUGAUAAAAAGACAAAGCAAUAUCUCUAUUGGUGUCAAGGCUCUUCAUAUUUUACUCAUACAACCUUUCAGCUGUAAUGAAAUGCCAACAGACUCUUAAUAACUUUGCACAUACCAUUCUAACUUGCCCCCAGCCAAAUUGCAGUCUUUAAAGCACAGAGAAUAUAUAAAAAGGUAAAGACAUAUAAGUGUCACUUAGGGCAAGAACUUUCUUCACCCACAAACCUUUUCUUUAUUAAAAAGGGGGAAACAAUGAAAACGUUGAAUCUACAAGAUACCCAAAUGUUUUAUUCAGUGUGUAAAUGACAUUAUUCUUCUAUCACCCAGUCUAAAGCAGGGGUUUUAGCCACCAUAGUCUCUUGCCUCUUGUAGGGUUGUUGGCCACCAAAUGUAGAUUUAUAUCUCCCCACAAAAGCAUAGUUUUUAGUUUCCAUAUCAAUUCGAUAUUUUGAAAAAUGUAGGCUAAGCUUGUUAUUUGUAUAAUCUUAAUCCUAGAAUCAUGAACUGGUGUUGCCAUACAUUGUAUCGGUUCAAUAGUCCAUAGGCAAUUCUAUUUUGAUGAGUACAUGGUGCUGUUCUGCUGGUGGUUAUGGAAAGACCUCAGCAAUGGAAAGUAAUGGCAGUAUAUGUGCAGUACAUUUCGUCUUUUUUUCUUUUUAAGUCACUAAAUGGAAAGGUUCUUUGUGGAAUGCAGCGGAAGUAAGUUUAUAACUGUUAUAUAACAUGAUUAAAUUGCUCAGGCCUUGAAGCAUUAUUUAAAUAAAAAAAUGAAUUAAAGAUUUUAUCUUCAGAAUUAAUAAAAGUGAAACUGACCUAUUAAGAGGUUGAUGAAGAAUAAUGAUGCCGGGCCAGCUCUUUUCUGAACACACAUGCUUUAUCUCCUUGCUACAUGUUUUAUUUCCAUAUUUCCUUAUAUAAAAUUAAAUAAACCCAGACACUCCAUAUGACUCAAAAGGCCAUACAGGUGGUAAAGUUCCCACUGGGGGCUGUGUCAAUAGACACAUUAGUUCUGCACGUAAAGAGUCAAGGACAGAUGUUAUUUUGUCACCAAUAGAAAUGUGAGCAACAUUAUCACCAUUAGUGGGGAUGAAAUGUUCAAUUUACCCUAUUAGUCCUAUUCAAUAGCAUUUGCAGUAUGAGGUAUUAGCUAAAAGAAGACAGGAGUAAUGAGCACCUUGAAAACAAAAGCUCACUAUGGAAUUACCCUGUAAUUCUGUUGACUUCCUCAAGCCUUACAAGUUCAAUCUAGGGACAGCCUCCUGCAAUGGCAUAAAUGACCGGGAUAGAGAGCAGGAGUGACAAGCGGUGCUGUUGAGUGGAUGGCAGAGGGUGGCAUGUGCAGGACUCAAGGGCCCAAAUUUUGGGUAGGCAGACAGAAGUAUGUGCCUAUUGCCCCCUACCAUUGUACCCUAGGCCCAUGCCUCUUCUUCCUGCCCUUAGUUCUGACCCUGACAGAGGCAGAUUUUA